CCAGCAGCCGCGGUAAUACGAAGGGGGCUAGCGUUGCUCGGAAUCACUGGGCGUAAAGCGCACGUAGGCGGCUUUUUAAGUCAGGGGUGAAAUCCCCGGGCUCAACCUGGGAAUUGCAUUCGAGACUGCAUAGCUAGGGUGCGGAAGAGGGAAGCGGAAUUUCCGGUGUAGCGGUGAAAUGCGUAGAUAUCGGAAGGAACACCAGUGGCGAAAGCGGCUUCCUGGUCCAGCACCGACGUUCAGGCACGAAAGCGUGGGGAGCAAACAGGAUUAGAUACCCUGGUA
RNAcentral lists this ribosomal RNA (285 nucleotides) under uncultured Gammaproteobacteria bacterium. RNAcentral's name for it is "partial 16S ribosomal RNA". It matches the Rfam family "Bacterial small subunit ribosomal RNA", at positions 508 to 792 of the family's 1533-position model. Lineage: Bacteria; Pseudomonadati; Pseudomonadota; Gammaproteobacteria. The record is from RNAcentral.